This 796-nucleotide ribosomal RNA is filed under the name Plagiostoma robergeanum. RNAcentral describes it as "eukaryotic LSU rRNA". It matches the Rfam family "Eukaryotic large subunit ribosomal RNA", at positions 131 to 951 of the family's 3401-position model. The record is from RNAcentral. Lineage: Eukaryota; Fungi; Ascomycota; Sordariomycetes; Diaporthales; Gnomoniaceae.
CUUCGGCCCGAGUUGUAAUUUGCAGAGGAUGUUUAUGGUGCAGUACUUUCCGAGUUCCCUGGAACGGGACGCCACAGAGGGUGAGAGCCCCGUCUGGUUGGAUACUAAACCUGUGUUAAACUCCUUCAACGAGUCGAGUAGUUUGGGAAUGCUGCUCUAAAUGGGAGGUAAAUCUCUUCUAAAGCUAAAUACUGGCCAGAGACCGAUAGCGCACAAGUAGAGUGAUCGAAAGAUGAAAAGCACCUUGAAAAGGGGGUUAAACAGUACGUGAAAUUGUUGAAAGGGAAGCGUUUAUGACCAGACUUGUGUCGUGUGGCUCAUCCGAGGUUCUCCCCGGUGCACUCCACGCGGCUCAGGCCAACAUCGGUUCUUGUUGGGGGAUAAGAACAGUAGGAACGUAGCUCUCUUUCGGGGGAGUGUUAUAGCCUGCUGUACGAUACUCUGACGGGGACCGAGGACCGCGCUUCGGCUAGGAUGUUGGCGUAAUGGUCAUUAGCGACCCGUCUUGAAACACGGACCAAGGAGUCGUCCAUUAGAGCGAGCGUUUGGGUGUAAAACCCGCACGCGUAAUGAAAGUGAAAUUAGGUGAGAGCUUCGGCGCAUCAUCGACCGAUCCUGAAGUUUACGGAUGGAUUUGAGUAAGAGUUUUAACGGACGGACCCGAAAGACAGUGAACUAUGCUUGAAUAGGGUGAAGCCAGAGGAAACUCUGGUGGAGGCUCGCAGCGGUUCUGACGUGCAAAUCGAUCGUCAAAUUUGAGCAUGGGGGCGAAAGACUAAUCGAACUGUCUAGUAGC